CAACUUUCCUCAACGGAUCUCUUGGUUCUUGCAUCCAUGAAGAACGCACCGAAAUGCCAAAAGUAAUGUGAAUAUGCAUCAAUUCCGUGAAUUAUCAAAUACUUGGAACGCAAAUUGCACUCUUCUGGUAUUCCGAAGAGCAUGCUCGCUUGAGGGUUGUU
This 161-nucleotide ribosomal RNA is filed under the name uncultured Acaulosporaceae. Its description in RNAcentral is "5.8S ribosomal RNA". It matches the Rfam family "5.8S ribosomal RNA". From Rfam's summary of the family: 5.8S ribosomal RNA (5.8S rRNA) is a component of the large subunit of the eukaryotic ribosome. The record is from RNAcentral. Lineage: Eukaryota; Fungi; Glomeromycota; Glomeromycetes; Diversisporales; Acaulosporaceae.